Mya arenaria is the source of this 1656-nucleotide long non-coding RNA. RefSeq lists it as uncharacterized. The record is from RefSeq and is a predicted model, not a curated record. Lineage: Eukaryota; Metazoa; Mollusca; Bivalvia; Myida; Myidae. The transcript is spliced from 3 exons.
UCCGGUUGCAAGAUGUGACGCCAAACGGCCUCCUUCUCAAGCAGGCGACGCGGCAGUUGAAGUCGUUGGAGUGGGAGGAUCGUUCGUAGACGUUGGGGGUAACUCCGCUUCCCCCGAUGGAAUACCACCAUGGGGAAUCGUUCUGAUUUGCGUCGGAAGUCUUAUUGUUAUUGGGGCCGUAGUAUUUCUCGUAUGGUGGGUGAGGAGUGGCACAGAUGAUGAUACAACGAAAGAGAAGAAACAACCUCACACAACGGCCGAUUCGGAACCCUCCAUCAACUAGACAAACUGUAGUCGCAGCGUUAAUUUAACAUCGGUGGAAUUGAACUAAAAAAACUGACUGAACCAACAGAUAUGUAAACUUGGGAUGUCUUAAUUGUGGCUUACUUAUAAAACUAUCAAUAUAUCUGUAAUCCUUAUUUAUAUAAAAGUUUUUUUUUAUAUUUUUAUUUAAAUGUUGUUUGAAUUUGAAAUGAGGUAAUCGCAGCUAAUCAAUGAAAGCAGAACCGUCAAAUGUUUGAAAACUGUUUUUAUUUUUGAGGUACAAAAUAAUACGUACGAAAAAUAUAUCAUGUUGUAAAUGAACAGACUGACAGUUACAUGUGCCUUUGACAUCAUCAAUCCUUUUGUUAAGUUGAUCUAAUUUCACGGGCAUGCUAAGGUUGUCAAUGUAUUUUAUACUAUUUUUUAUUUUUAUUUCUAUGUUACAGUACUAAUGUUUUAUUUAUUUUAAGGCAAAUCAUGUUGUUAUGUCAUGUUAAACGUUUCCAUUUAUCUCUAUUCAAUUUUAACGUUUAUCCUUCAUGAGUUAUUCUAUUUAAUUUCUAUUUUAUACUGUAUAACAAGAAUUCAUAACGGUAAAAGAAGUGACCUUUGCGACAUAUAAUAUGAAAGCAGGUGACAUUUCUACCUGGAAAUAUAGUUGUCCUAGUUCUUUGCGGGCACGUGAACUAGGGGUCGGUUUAAAAAUAUACGUUUCAAAAAUAUGCUGACGUCGGAUGCGGAAAGAAAUACAUGCAUGGGAUAACGGCUUGACCUUCAAACGAGUGAUCGGUUGAUUUGUAAUAUAGUGAAUAUCCAGGAGCUUUCAGCGCUUUCAUUUUAAAAGCUGCACUCCCACAGUUUGAACGUUUUGACAACUUUGUUUUAUUUUUUUUUGUCUUAGAACGAGCCAAUUUAUGCAAAAAUGCAUGACAACCAGUCAUAUAAGACUGCUGAAGGAAAAUUAGACAGCGAUCAUUGCAAUGUGGCUGUCGGCUGGUUCGAUUCAUGACUCGACCGUGUAAAGAUAGAUGUCAACAUUAAAGAUGGGGCACGUGUAUGUUACGAGUGUAACAACGACCUUUAAGAAAGCAUUUUGAACACAAAGUGACACAAACACCACUAACUAUUUACAUUUCUUAAUUCUUUCAAUUUUAAGACUUUAACUUACACACAAACUGGUUUAAGCCCGCAGUUAAUUUACAUUUUACUGACCGUUCCAAGGCGGUACUAUCCUUGAUUCACACACCUAUUUUCAUAUAGUAAAUUUGUACUGUGUUGUUUGUUGAGUUUUGUGCUGUUGUUCCAUGUUUCUGGUUUGAGAAUUCUUGUGUUUGUGUUUUAUAUUUUUGGCGUUUACCCUUUGCAAUUAAACGGGAUUAAUGCUUAAACUUU